GGAAGUUGUUGGUUGUGGGUGGGGUGGAAAGAUUUGAUAAAUCUGUUUUUUUUUGAAAAAAAAAUGGAAAAUAGAUUAAAUCUUUCCUACUCCUCCCAUACCCAUGACUUCC
This 112-nucleotide microRNA precursor is filed under the name Solanum chilense. RNAcentral's name for it is "pre-miR482f". Lineage: Eukaryota; Viridiplantae; Streptophyta; Magnoliopsida; Solanales; Solanaceae. The record is from RNAcentral.